GGAAGGGGUGGAGCUAGAACUGGACACCUCGGGGGUUUCCUGCUUUAUGGCGAAGGACGGAGUUUUGCUCUUGUUGCCCAAGCUGGAGUGCAAUGGUGCGAUCUUCGCUUACUGCAACCUCUGCUUCCUGGGUUCAAGUGAUUCCCCUGCCUCAGCCUCCCGAGUAGCAGGGAUUACAGAUGGAGCCUCGCUCUGUCACCCAGGCUGGAGUGCAGUGGCACAAUCUCGGGUCACUGCAACCUCCGCCCCCCAGCUUCAAGCGAUUCUCCUGUCUCAGCCUCCCGAGUAGCUAGGAUUACAGGUGCACGCCACCAGGCCUGGCUAAUUUUUAUAUUUUUAGUAGAGAUGGGAUUUUGCCUUGUUGGCCAGGCUGGUCUCAAACUCCUGACCUCAGGUGACCCAUCCACCUUGGCCUCCCAAAGUGCUGGGACUACAGGUGUGAGCCACCAUGCCUGGUCCCCCACUUGUUGAUUUUGCAGAAAAGAUAGCUGUGUUACAACCUGUCCUAAGGUCAGGUAUGAAUACUUGUGCUUCUUUCUUGGCUCCCCAAGCCAGAGGGCAUUCCUAUGCCCAGGUGAGAGAGCACGGAGUGUUACUUUGGCAGCACAGUCAGUUACCAGAGGUAGGAAAAGCAAAGGCCAGGCAGGACAUGAGGGGCCCUUGCACUGGCUGGUUCUCCCUGCCUUCACCACCCUCCAGGUGAAUGACUGGGUGAAUAAUGAUUGACUGAGGAGGUAAUGAAUAAUUUAUGGACACUGCUGGACCUCAGUCUCCUCAUCUGAAAGAUGAGUGGUUGGAGAAGUUUAAUGGUUUUCAAAUGCUUUUUUUUUCAGUCUUCAAAUAAGUGUUUACGUAGAAGCACCAUAUCUGAAACAGGUGACAGUGGACCAGUCUGAAUGAAAUGAGGGUUGGCAGGCCUGAGCUCCAAAACCUUCUGAUUGCCCAAGCCCUCCUUGUCUUGCUUGGAUUAUCUCCACACAAAUGGAGAAACUGGACAAGGUGGUCAUGGAGGUCCCUGAAAGCUCAAAGACUUUCUCAUUCCAGGAUUCCCCAUGUUCAUAUGCCAGCAUGGCAUGGGGGUGCUCUGUAGUCAAGCAGGGUCCUUUGGGGGGCUUAGGGAUGGAGCCAGGAAAUGGCUCUGGGACUCAGCGGGUGUCCAGAGUCUCAUCAGCAGGGUUUCUUUACUUUCACUGAGUGGCUGGUGCCUGCACACUGAGUUUUGCAGGCUUACUCUCACAGAGUGAGCUUCCUGCAGGCCCCCCACUGCAACCCCUUUCCUUCCUGGAGCUGUGUGCUGACUGGUGCGUGAGCACCCCAGGCCCUCUCCCCAUGCUGCUGAUGGUCAGCUUUCUCUGCACGCUCGUGGUUGCCACAGUCAACGCUGAUAAAAUUGCUGAUGCAGAUUGCCUGCCCAGCUGCGAGUGCUGGCACGGGACCAGCAGCCCAGACGGUCACUGGAAGUGGUUGGGCUGAUUAUUGGCAUCAUCUCCAUUGUCCUACUCGGUUCUUAAAGGCAUAUGGACUUGCCUCACUCCUACAGCAAAUGACGGCAUGGGCAAAGAGGGGCAACAGACCCACCCUGAAGACACUCCUCAUCUGGUUGACUUGGCAGGGUUAAGGGAAAAAGAUGUGAUGACUAGGAGCUGAGAGCUUAGUGGUUCUGCCAGAGCUGCAGAGUCUUUGUUGGCCUCAGGGUGGGACCUCUCACAUCUCUGUCAGCUUUUCACGGACACCAACCUGUUAUGAUUCAUUUCACCUGUCCUGAGCACUAGCAAGAAAAAUUCGCUGUAGCUUGUGAUGUAUUAUUCUGGAUUUCUCAACUCAUUCAUUUGUUCAUUCAUUCACUAUACCAUUACUGUCUAUUAUAAGGGGGGCACAAUGGUAGGUGCUGGGAAUAAAAACGAUGUUUAACGUUUCAUGAGGCUUCCCUGUCCUUAAGGAGUCCGCGUGUCUUUGUACCUGUCUGUCUGCUAGAUUAUUAAGUGACACUGUGAGAAGCUACUGAGAGCAGCAUGUGGGACAUGCAGAAGGGCAAGAGGCAGGAGAGAUGAUUCAUGUCGGAGGGGCAGGGGAGGACUGACGGAGAGGGUGAUGUUUGGCUGAGUCAUGAAGGCUAGUGGUAUUUUUCCAUGCAGAGAAGUGGGAGGAAAGGCAUUCUGUGUGGAGGGCACACAGUGUGCAAGGGCAGAGAGGUCAUUAUGUGAAGGCUUUGUGCUACUGCUUCAGAGUUGUGGAACGUGAUGUUGCAAUCUGGGAAAGACGCUGAUGGCAAGGGAUAGCAUCAUCAGGUUGUGCUGCCAUCCCUGAAAGGCCCAGGCUCAAAGGUUUUGGGUGAAGGAAGCCAGGAGGGUUAGAAAGGGAGGAAGAUGCCAGGGCAUCUGGUAAAAUAAAGCAUGUGUCAG
This 2402-nucleotide long non-coding RNA is filed under the name Homo sapiens (human). Its description in RNAcentral is "PAX8 antisense RNA 1". The record is from RNAcentral. Lineage: Eukaryota; Metazoa; Chordata; Mammalia; Primates; Hominidae.